UCUCUCGUAGCUUACUGGUUAGAGCAUUGGUGCGUAAAGCCAAAGGUCCAGGGUUCGAAUCCCAGCGAGGGUG
This is a non-coding RNA of Agrilus planipennis (emerald ash borer), 73 nucleotides long. Lineage: Eukaryota; Metazoa; Arthropoda; Insecta; Coleoptera; Buprestidae. The record is from Rfam.